Molecule: ribosomal RNA, 2925 nt
Filed under: Escherichia coli
Lineage: Bacteria; Pseudomonadati; Pseudomonadota; Gammaproteobacteria; Enterobacterales; Enterobacteriaceae
Description: 23S ribosomal RNA
Rfam family: Bacterial large subunit ribosomal RNA
Source: RNAcentral
GGGUUGUGAGGUUAAGCGACUAAGCGUACACGGUGGAUGCCCUGGCAGUCAGAGGCGAUGAAGGACGUGCUAAUCUGCGAUAAGCGUCGGUAAGGUGAUAUGAACCGUUAUAACCGGCGAUUUCCGAAUGGGGAAACCCAGUGUGAUUCGUCACACUAUCAUUAACUGAAUCCAUAGGUUAAUGAGGCGAACCGGGGGAACUGAAACAUCUAAGUACCCCGAGGAAAAGAAAUCAACCGAGAUUCCCCCAGUAGCGGCGAGCGAACGGGGAGCAGCCCAGAGCCUGAAUCAGUGUGUGUGUUAGUGGAAGCGUCUGGAAAGGCGCGCGAUACAGGGUGACAGCCCCGUACACAAAAAUGCACAUGCUGUGAGCUCGAUGAGUAGGGCGGGACACGUGGUAUCCUGUCUGAAUAUGGGGGGACCAUCCUCCAAGGCUAAAUACUCCUGACUGACCGAUAGUGAACCAGUACCGUGAGGGAAAGGCGAAAAGAACCCCGGCGAGGGGAGUGAAAAAGAACCUGAAACCGUGUACGUACAAGCAGUGGGAGCACGCUUAGGCGUGUGACUGCGUACCUUUUGUAUAAUGGGUCAGCGACUUAUAUUCUGUAGCAAGGUUAACCGAAUAGGGGAGCCGAAGGGAAACCGAGUCUUAACUGGGCGUUAAGUUGCAGGGUAUAGACCCGAAACCCGGUGAUCUAGCCAUGGGCAGGUUGAAGGUUGGGUAACACUAACUGGAGGACCGAACCGACUAAUGUUGAAAAAUUAGCGGAUGACUUGUGGCUGGGGGUGAAAGGCCAAUCAAACCGGGAGAUAGCUGGUUCUCCCCGAAAGCUAUUUAGGUAGCGCCUCGUGAAUUCAUCUCCGGGGGUAGAGCACUGUUUCGGCAAGGGGGUCAUCCCGACUUACCAACCCGAUGCAAACUGCGAAUACCGGAGAAUGUUAUCACGGGAGACACACGGCGGGUGCUAACGUCCGUCGUGAAGAGGGAAACAACCCAGACCGCCAGCUAAGGUCCCAAAGUCAUGGUUAAGUGGGAAACGAUGUGGGAAGGCCCAGACAGCCAGGAUGUUGGCUUAGAAGCAGCCAUCAUUUAAAGAAAGCGUAAUAGCUCACUGGUCGAGUCGGCCUGCGCGGAAGAUGUAACGGGGCUAAACCAUGCACCGAAGCUGCGGCAGCGACGCUUAUGCGUUGUUGGGUAGGGGAGCGUUCUGUAAGCCUGCGAAGGUGUGCUGUGAGGCAUGCUGGAGGUAUCAGAAGUGCGAAUGCUGACAUAAGUAACGAUAAAGCGGGUGAAAAGCCCGCUCGCCGGAAGACCAAGGGUUCCUGUCCAACGUUAAUCGGGGCAGGGUGAGUCGACCCCUAAGGCGAGGCCGAAAGGCGUAGUCGAUGGGAAACAGGUUAAUAUUCCUGUACUUGGUGUUACUGCGAAGGGGGGACGGAGAAGGCUAUGUUGGCCGGGCGACGGUUGUCCCGGUUUAAGCGUGUAGGCUGGUUUUCCAGGCAAAUCCGGAAAAUCAAGGCUGAGGCGUGAUGACGAGGCACUACGGUGCUGAAGCAACAAAUGCCCUGCUUCCAGGAAAAGCCUCUAAGCAUCAGGUAACAUCAAAUCGUACCCCAAACCGACACAGGUGGUCAGGUAGAGAAUACCAAGGCGCUUGAGAGAACUCGGGUGAAGGAACUAGGCAAAAUGGUGCCGUAACUUCGGGAGAAGGCACGCUGAUAUGUAGGUGAAGCGACUUGCUCGUGGAGCUGAAAUCAGUCGAAGAUACCAGCUGGCUGCAACUGUUUAUUAAAAACACAGCACUGUGCAAACACGAAAGUGGACGUAUACGGUGUGACGCCUGCCCGGUGCCGGAAGGUUAAUUGAUGGGGUCAGCGCAAGCGAAGCUCUUGAUCGAAGCCCCGGUAAACGGCGGCCGUAACUAUAACGGUCCUAAGGUAGCGAAAUUCCUUGUCGGGUAAGUUCCGACCUGCACGAAUGGCGUAAUGAUGGCCAGGCUGUCUCCACCCGAGACUCAGUGAAAUUGAACUCGCUGUGAAGAUGCAGUGUACCCGCGGCAAGACGGAAAGACCCCGUGAACCUUUACUAUAGCUUGACACUGAACAUUGAGCCUUGAUGUGUAGGAUAGGUGGGAGGCUUGGAAGUGUGGACGCCAGUCUGCAUGGAGCCGACCUUGAAAUACCACCCUUUAAUGUUUGAUGUUCUAACGUUGACCCGUAAUCCGGGUUGCGGACAGUGUCUGGUGGGUAGUUUGACUGGGGCGGUCUCCUCCUAAAGAGUAACGGAGGAGCACGAAGGUUGGCUAAUCCUGGUCGGACAUCAGGAGGUUAGUGCAAUGGCAUAAGCCAGCUUGACUGCGAGCGUGACGGCGCGAGCAGGUGCGAAAGCAGGUCAUAGUGAUCCGGUGGUUCUGAAUGGAAGGGCCAUCGCUCAACGGAUAAAAGGUACUCCGGGGAUAACAGGCUGAUACCGCCCAAGAGUUCAUAUCGACGGCGGUGUUUGGCACCUCGAUGUCGGCUCAUCACAUCCUGGGGCUGAAGUAGGUCCCAAGGGUAUGGCUGUUCGCCAUUUAAAGUGGUACGCGAGCUGGGUUUAGAACGUCGUGAGACAGUUCGGUCCCUAUCUGCCGUGGGCGCUGGAGAACUGAGGGGGGCUGCUCCUAGUACGAGAGGACCGGAGUGGACGCAUCACUGGUGUUCGGGUUGUCAUGCCAAUGGCACUGCCCGGUAGCUAAAUGCGGAAGAGAUAAGUGCUGAAAGCAUCUAAGCACGAAACUUGCCCCGAGAUGAGUUCUCCCUGACUCCUUGAGAGUCCUGAAGGAACGUUGAAGACGACGACGUUGAUAGGCCGGGUGUGUAAGCGCAGCGAUGCGUUGAGCUAACCGGUACUAAUGAACCGUGAGGCUUAACCUUACAACGCCGAAG